This 262-nucleotide ribosomal RNA is filed under the name uncultured archaeon. RNAcentral describes it as "partial 16S ribosomal RNA". It matches the Rfam family "Archaeal small subunit ribosomal RNA", at positions 748 to 1008 of the family's 1478-position model. The record is from RNAcentral.
CAGCCGUAAACAAUGUGCGUUAGGUGUGUCGGUAACCACGCGUUACUGAUGCGCCGAAGAGAAAUCGUGAAACGCACCACCUGGGAAGUACGGUCGCAAGGCUGAAACUUAAAGGAAUUGGCGGGGGAGGCACCACAACAGGUGGAGCCUGCGGUUUAAUUGGAUUCAACGCCGGACAUCUCACCGGAUAAGACAGCUGAAUGAUUGUCAAUCUGAAGGUUUUACAUGACUAGCUGAGAGGAGGUGCAUGGCGUCAGUGACU